GGGCUGGAUCCCCCGCCUACCGUUUCCCCGCAGCCGCCGGCGCUUCUGGCGCUUGUGACCUGAGCAGGAAGCCCAGAGAGAAACCAGAAAGACAGGAAGGGGAUUCCUGGACUUCCUUUCCACAUCCGGCAGGAACGCGACCCUCCCUCCUCCAGCUAGGAGCGCUUGGCCGGGCGCACCAAGAUGCCUGCAGCUUCAAGAAGAUGUAUGGGAACAGACACAGAAACUUUCCCUACCAGAUAAGCAGGACAAAGAAACACAGACUAAGAGUUGGCCUGUGUGGUCACGGAGUGGGUUAAGAGAUGAUAAAAAAAAUCUGCUCUGUACAGAUAGCACACCUGGUCCCAACUAAACCCUGGGGCCCUAGAAAGAUAAGACACCCCCUCCUCACAAGCCCCUCCUCAAGAGCCCCCUCCUCAAGAGCCCAUUUAUAAAAACUCUGACAUUCUUACUACAACUUGGCAAUCUUCUCAGGAUCCCUCUCUAACAGAGACCUGUUCUUUCCUUUUGCCUAUUAAACUCCUGCUCCAAACUCA
This 536-nucleotide non-coding RNA is filed under the name Pan troglodytes (chimpanzee). The record is from RNAcentral. Lineage: Eukaryota; Metazoa; Chordata; Mammalia; Primates; Hominidae.